UGGGGAAUAUUUCACAAUGGGCGCAAGCCUGAUGCAGCCAUGCCGCGUGUGUGAAGAAGGCCUUCGGGUUGUAAAGCACUUUCAGCGGGGAGGAAGGCGUUAAGGUUAAUAACCUUGGCGAUUGACGUUACCCGCAGAAGAAGCACCGGCUAACUCCGUGCCAGCAGCCGCGGUAAUACGGAGGGUGCAAGCGUUAAUCGGAAUUACUGGGCGUAAAGCGCACGCAGGCGGUUGAUUGAGUCAGAUGUGAAAUCCCCGGGCUUAACCCGGGAAUUGCAUCUGAUACUGGACAGCUAGAGUCUUGUAGAGGGGGGUAGAAUUCGAGGUGUAGCGGUGAAAUGCGUAGAGAUGUGGAGGAAUACCGGUGGCGAAGGCGGCCCCCUGGACAAAGACUGACGCUCAGGUGCGAAAGCGUGGGGAGCAAACAGG
This 429-nucleotide ribosomal RNA is filed under the name Chloroflexota bacterium. RNAcentral's name for it is "Chloroflexi bacterium partial 16S ribosomal RNA". It matches the Rfam family "Bacterial small subunit ribosomal RNA", at positions 355 to 776 of the family's 1533-position model. The record is from RNAcentral. Lineage: Bacteria; Bacillati; Chloroflexota.